This 212-nucleotide long non-coding RNA is filed under the name Setaria viridis. Its description in RNAcentral is "long non-coding RNA (SVIR_LNC003639)". The record is from RNAcentral. Lineage: Eukaryota; Viridiplantae; Streptophyta; Magnoliopsida; Poales; Poaceae.
UUCUGGACCUUGAACUUAAAUUUACAUAUUGCUCAUUUAAUCCUAUUUAAAUGCUUGUAUAGACAUUUAAUUCGUUGGUGUAAGAUGCAACAAAGAACACGUGGAAGGGGAUAGGCAAACAACCAAGUUUAAUUCCAUCUACCAUGCAGCAUGGAGUCAUAUUGGAUUACUAUAUUCACGCGCAUUCACUGAACACUAGUGUAACACCUCAC